RNAcentral lists this long non-coding RNA (388 nucleotides) under Setaria viridis. Its description in RNAcentral is "long non-coding RNA (SVIR_LNC009284)". Lineage: Eukaryota; Viridiplantae; Streptophyta; Magnoliopsida; Poales; Poaceae. The record is from RNAcentral.
CGAGAUAUAAGGGCGACGAUUGGAAAUCGGCCGAUUGGUGCUACAGUCAAGGAUCGGCCAAUUAAUGCUACAGUCGAGGAUCGGCCGAUUGAUCCUUGGAGUUCCGCCUCGCCCGACCCCUGAGGCUUGGGAUCGGACGCACCCGACCCUCCAAGGGAGGAUCUCCGCCUCGCCCGACCCCUGAGGCUUGGGAUCGGACGCGCCCGACCCUCCAAGGGAGGAUCUCCGCCUCGCCCGACCCCUGAGGUUUGGGAUCGGACGCGCCCGACCCUCCAAGGGAGGAUCUCCGCCUCGUCCGACCUUAGUCCCCAGCGUCAGAAUGAGUCCGAGUCCUCGACAUGUGAGUCCUGAUCGGCUACCCCCUUGCCAAAGAGGUGAUCGGCCGAUU